This 221-nucleotide long non-coding RNA is filed under the name Homo sapiens (human). RNAcentral's name for it is "HSALNT0143128". Lineage: Eukaryota; Metazoa; Chordata; Mammalia; Primates; Hominidae. The record is from RNAcentral.
UGAAACAGUUCAUUCCCCACCGGCGCAUUUCUUGUGAACCUAAGAAAAGCGAGGGGCUGAGCGAUCGUUUGUCGUGGUCUUCUUCAGUUUCACGCCCCUUCGGAUGGCGUUCAGCAUGUCUUCUCCUUGUGGAGUAUCCCUUGGGCUCAGGUCUGCAGGGUCACUCUCUGGAAUCUGGCCUGGGGAGACAGUGGCACUUGGGGGUUCCCGUUCCUGGUCUU